AGUGAACGCUGGCGGUAGGCCUAACACAUGCAAGUCGAACGGCAGCACAGUAAGAGCUUGCUCUUACGGGUGGCGAGUGGCGGACGGGUGAGGAAUACAUCGGAAUCUACUUUUUCGUGGGGGAUAACGUAGGGAAACUUACGCUAAUACCGCAUACGACCUACGGGUGAAAGCAGGGGAUCUUCGGACCUUGCGCGAUUGAAUGAGCCGAUGUCGGAUUAGCUAGUUGGCGGGGUAAAGGCCCACCAAGGCGACGAUCCGUAGCUGGUCUGAGAGGAUGAUCAGCCACACUGGAACUGAGACACGGUCCAGACUCCUACGGGAGGCAGCAGUGGGGAAUAUUGGACAAUGGGCGCAAGCCUGAUCCAGCGAUACCGCGUGGGUGAAGAAGGCCUUCGGGUUGUAAAGCCCUGUUGUUGGGAAAGAAAAGCAGCAGGUUAAUACCCCGCUGUUCUGACGGUACCCAAAGAAUAAGCACCGGCUAACUUCGUG
Molecule: ribosomal RNA, 492 nt
Filed under: uncultured bacterium
Lineage: Bacteria
Description: partial 16S ribosomal RNA
Rfam family: Bacterial small subunit ribosomal RNA
Source: RNAcentral